Molecule: transfer RNA, 81 nt
Filed under: Enterolobium timbouva
Lineage: Eukaryota; Viridiplantae; Streptophyta; Magnoliopsida; Fabales; Fabaceae
Description: partial tRNA-His
Source: RNAcentral
AUGGAAAUCUCCGUAAUUUUUAGAUAGUAUAGGGGCGGAUGUAGCCAAGUGGAUCAAGGCAGUGGAUUUGUGAAUCCACCA